ACAAGGAUACAGUACAGGCAGCAAACGCUGAAUUAUGGGAGAAGAAUUCAAGACAAAGACUCUGAUUAAGGUCAAUUAGUAUGGCAAAUGGAAAUUGACAAUAGUUGUACGUUGGCAUUGUAUCUUAAGGGCUUGUUGCAGUUGGUGGAAGAUCUUUAAUCAUGUUUGUAGUUAUCCUAAAUGCUUGUAAUUCUUUGCUAGUUUGGAUUUUUGGAGGGAAGCAUAGAUUGAUCUUUAAAAGAUGUUUGCUUCGUUUCAAUUGAUCUUUAAAACAAAUUUUGUAAAUUGGUUCAAUUAUAUCAGCAACUCACAUAAAUA
This is a non-coding RNA of Jatropha curcas, 318 nucleotides long. The record is from RefSeq and is a predicted model, not a curated record. NCBI's taxonomy places the organism in Eukaryota, Viridiplantae, Streptophyta, Magnoliopsida, Malpighiales, Euphorbiaceae.